AAACACACUUUGCUGGGGGGGUUAGGGCAGCCACUAUUCACGUGAAUAGUAGCUGUCCUAGGGCUCCCCUUGCCAUGGCAAGGGGCUAACAGGUGGAAAUGCUCUUAUGCCAUCAACAAGAAUUGCUUUCCCAACUAGCUCAUUAUUUCUUAAAAUAGAACCAAAAAAAAAAAUAAACAAAAAAAAUCAUCAAAGUCCAAACUGAACUUUGACUUUACAAGCCUACUAACUGAAACGAAGUUCUUUCUCAUCAAAGGAACAUAAACCAUCUAGCUCCAAAAUAAAACCAAAAUCUAGUUCAACCCUAAUUACUCCGAUUAAUGAAAUCUAUUUACUUGGACUUUGACUUUAUUGCCCACGAACACCUUCAAUUCAUCCUUGUUUGGUGGCUUAUUCCUUAUGAAUCCCUUUAGACUUUUGCUUUUCCAACCACCUCUUGUACCUUUUACAGUCCUUCUUCAUAUGCCCAAUGAUAAGCCUAUAUUUUAUGCCUCCUUUACUUAUUUAUUUGUUAGUUUUCUUGGAUUAAAUUGGUUGUUUUAAUUUGUUUUAUGAGAUUUGUGAAGGAAUUGUGAAAUAGGAGAAAUUGAGGUAAAAAUGGGCAAGAAGAUGAAGAUUGGAGAUUAAUUAAAAGAAGUCAAGUCAUUCCUUUUAUCGCAAGGAGUGCUGUCAAAUUUUUCAAUUCAAGAUGGUUCAAGUCUUACCAAAUCAAACAAGGAGAAAUAA
This 726-nucleotide long non-coding RNA is filed under the name Prunus persica (peach). RNAcentral describes it as "long non-coding RNA (PPER_LNC002284)". Lineage: Eukaryota; Viridiplantae; Streptophyta; Magnoliopsida; Rosales; Rosaceae. The record is from RNAcentral.